UACGUAGGGGGCGAGCGUUGUCCGGAUUUAUUGGGCGUAAAGAGCUCGUAGGCGGUUUGGUAAGUCGGGUGUGAAAUCUCCACGCUCAACGUGGAGGGGCCACUCGAUACUGCCAUGACUCGAGUCCGGUAGAGGAGUGUGGAAUUCCCGGUGUAGCGGUGAAAUGCGCAGAUAUCAGGAGGAACACCGGUGGCGAAGGCGGGUCUCUGGGCCGUAACUGACGCUGAGGAGCGAAAGCAUGGGGAGCGAACAGG
RNAcentral lists this ribosomal RNA (254 nucleotides) under uncultured bacterium. RNAcentral's name for it is "partial 16S ribosomal RNA". It matches the Rfam family "Bacterial small subunit ribosomal RNA", at positions 524 to 776 of the family's 1533-position model. The record is from RNAcentral.